Molecule: long non-coding RNA, 237 nt
Filed under: Elaeis guineensis (African oil palm)
Lineage: Eukaryota; Viridiplantae; Streptophyta; Magnoliopsida; Arecales; Arecaceae
Description: long non-coding RNA (EGUI_LNC081247)
Source: RNAcentral
AUUGCUAGAUGGUCACUUCGAUUAGUACAGGAAUUGGUUCCUGUGCUACCGGCUUAGGUUCGAACCUGCGGGGUCACAUACAUUAGAGGUUCCUAUCUGAUCUAAUGGCUGAUGAAGAGUCUUAAUGUUCAUGGACUCUGAGUCCUACAUGUCUGGGACUCUGUGAUCGAGAAUCAGGAUUCUCUGAUCAUGAGUCCCACGCAUUUUUGGUAGCGGGGUCAAGAGUCCCACUAGUUU